RNAcentral lists this ribosomal RNA (465 nucleotides) under Vreelandella stevensii. Its description in RNAcentral is "partial 16S ribosomal RNA". It matches the Rfam family "Bacterial small subunit ribosomal RNA", at positions 338 to 795 of the family's 1533-position model. The record is from RNAcentral. Lineage: Bacteria; Pseudomonadati; Pseudomonadota; Gammaproteobacteria; Oceanospirillales; Halomonadaceae.
CCUACGGGCGGCUGCAGUGGGGAAUAUUGGACAAUGGGGGCAACCCUGAUCCAGCCAUGCCGCGUGUGUGAAGAAGGCCCUCGGGUUGUAAAGCACUUUCAGUGAGGAAGAACGCCUGGUGGUUAAUACCCAUCAGGAAAGACAUCACUCACAGAAGAAGCACCGGCUAACUCCGUGCCAGCAGCCGCGGUAAUACGGAGGGUGCGAGCGUUAAUCGGAAUUACUGGGCGUUAAGCGCGCGUAGGUGGCUUGAUAAGCCGGUUGUGAAAGCCCCGGGCUCAACCUGGGAACGGCAUCCGGAACUGUCAAGCUAGAGUGCAGGAGAGGAAGGUAGAAUUCCCGGUGUAGCGGUGAAAUGCGUAGAGAUCGGGAGGAAUACCAGUGGCGAAGGCGGCCUUCUGGACCGACACUGACACUGAGGUGCGAAAGCGUGGGUAGCAAACAGGAUUAGAUACCCGGGUAGUC